UGCAGUCGUACGCUUCUUUUUCCACCGGAGCUUGCUCCACCGGAAAAAGAGGAGUGGCGAACGGGUGAGUAACACGUGGGUAACCUGCCCAUCAGAAGGGGAUAACACUUGGAAACAGGUGCUAAUACCGUAUAACAAUCGAAACCGCAUGGUUUUGAUUUGAAAGGCGCUUUCGGGUGUCGCUGAUGGAUGGACCCGCGGGCAUUAGCUAGUUGGUGAGGUAACGGCUCACCAAGGCCACGAUGCAUAGCCGACCUGAGAGGGUGAUCGGCCACAUUGGGACUGAGACACGGCCCAAACUCCUACGGGAGGCAGCAGUAGGGAAUCUUCGGCAAUGGACGAAAGUCUGACCGAGCAACGCCGCGUGAGUGAAGAAGGUUUUCGGAUCGUAAAACUCUGUUGUUAGAGAAGAACAAGGAUGAGAGUAACUGUUCAUCCCUUGACGGUAUCUAACCAGAAAGCCACGGCUAACUACGUGCCAGCAGCCGCGGUAAUACGUAGGUGGCAAGCGUUGUCCGGAUUUAUUGGGCGUAAAGCGAGCGCAGGCGGUUUCUUAAGUCUGAUGUGAAAGCCCCCGGCUCAACCGGGGAGGGUCAUUGGAAACUGGGAGACUUGAGUGCAGAAGAGGAGAGUGGAAUUCCAUGUGUAGCGGUGAAAUGCGUAGAUAUAUGGAGGAACACCAGUGGCGAAGGCGGCUCUCUGGUCUGUAACUGACGCUGAGGCUCGAAAGCGUGGGGAGCAAACAGGAUUAGAUACCCUGGUAGUCCACGCCGUAAACGAUGAGUGCUAAGUGUUGGAGGGUUUGCCGCCCUUCAGUGCUGCAGCUAACGCAUUAAGCACUCCGGGCUGGGGGAGUACGACCGCAAGGUUGAAACUCAAAAAGAAUUGACGGGGGGCCCGCACAAGCGGUUGAGCAUGUGGUUUAAUUCGAAGCAACGC
RNAcentral lists this ribosomal RNA (939 nucleotides) under Enterococcus lactis. RNAcentral's name for it is "bacterial SSU rRNA". It matches the Rfam family "Bacterial small subunit ribosomal RNA", at positions 56 to 962 of the family's 1533-position model. The record is from RNAcentral. Lineage: Bacteria; Bacillati; Bacillota; Bacilli; Lactobacillales; Enterococcaceae.